Molecule: transfer RNA, 75 nt
Filed under: Streptomyces sp. CA-210063
Lineage: Bacteria; Bacillati; Actinomycetota; Actinomycetes; Kitasatosporales; Streptomycetaceae
Description: tRNA-Ala
Rfam family: tRNA
About the family: Transfer RNA (tRNA) molecules are approximately 80 nucleotides in length. Their secondary structure includes four short double-helical elements and three loops (D, anti-codon, and T loops). Further hydrogen bonds mediate the characteristic L-shaped molecular structure. tRNAs have two regions of fundamental functional importance: the anti-codon, which is responsible for specific mRNA codon recognition, and the 3' end, to which the tRNAs corresponding amino acid is attached (by aminoacyl-tRNA synthetases). tRNAs cope with the degeneracy of the genetic code in two manners: having more than one tRNA (with a specific anti-codon) for a particular amino acid; and 'wobble' base-pairing, i.e. permitting non-standard base-pairing at the 3rd anti-codon position.
Source: RNAcentral
GGUCCCGUAGCUCAGUUGGUCAAAGCGUCCGCCUGGCGAGCGGAGGGCCGCCGGUUCGAGAUCUGGUCGGGACCA